UUGUAAUGCGCGUUAGGGGUAGCAGUGGAAAUCCUUUUUGCGAGGCACGAGUAAAAAGAUUGAAACGAAUAACCCGACCCGAA
RNAcentral lists this small RNA (83 nucleotides) under Siansivirga zeaxanthinifaciens CC-SAMT-1. Its description in RNAcentral is "Flavo-1 RNA". It matches the Rfam family "Flavo-1 RNA". Lineage: Bacteria; Pseudomonadati; Bacteroidota; Flavobacteriia; Flavobacteriales; Flavobacteriaceae. The record is from Rfam by way of RNAcentral.